GGAAUGUGAUGAUUCAUAGUAAUCGAACGAAUCGCAGGUAUAUGCGAUAAGUCAUUCAAGUUUCUGCCCUAUCAGCUUUGGAUGGUAGUGUAUUGGACUACCAUGGCAGUCACGGGUAACGGAGAAUUAGGGUUCGAUUCCGGAGAGGGAGCCUGAGAAACGGCUACCACAUCUACGGAAGGCAGCAGGCGCGCAAAUUGCCCAAUCCUGACACGGGGAGGCAGUGACAAGAAAUAACAACUCUAGGAUUUCUUAGAAGUGUAAUGAGGAUAAUUUACAAACCUUACCGAAUGCAAUUGGAGGGCAAGUCUGGUGCCAGCAGCCGCGGUAAUUCCAGCUCCAAUAGCGUAUAUUAAAGUUGUUGCAGUUAAAAAGACUCGUAGUUGAAGUUCUGAUUGCUCAGGUUUCCAGCCUUAGGCGGAGAUACUGACAGUCAUCCGCUUGCAAACAUAUGUUCGAUCUUCACCGGUUGGCUAUGUGAGUAAGCACUUUACCUUGAG
Molecule: ribosomal RNA, 500 nt
Filed under: uncultured eukaryote
Lineage: Eukaryota
Description: SSU rRNA
Rfam family: Eukaryotic small subunit ribosomal RNA
Source: RNAcentral